GCUGGGCAUGGUGGCACAUGUCUGUAAUCCCAGCAACUCAGGAGGCUGAGGCAAGAGAAUCACGAGUUCGAGGCCAACCUUAACAACUUAGUGAGACCCUGUCUCAA
This 107-nucleotide small RNA is filed under the name Marmota monax (woodchuck). Lineage: Eukaryota; Metazoa; Chordata; Mammalia; Rodentia; Sciuridae. The record is from RNAcentral.